GUUGAACGCUGGCGGAAUGCUUUACACAUGCAAGUCGAACGGUAGAGGGGGCAACCCCUUGAGAGUGGCGAACGGGUGAGUAAUAUAUCGGAACGUGCCCAGUCGUGGGGGAUAACGUAGUGAAAAUUACGCUAAUACCGCAUACGAUCUAGGGAUGAAAGCGGGGGAUCGCAAGACCUCGCGCGAUUGGAGCGGCCGAUAUCAGAUUAGGUAGUUGGUAGGGUAAAGGCCGACCAAGCCAACGAUCUGUAGCUGGUCUGAGAGGACGACCAGCCACACUGGAACUGAGACACGGUCCAGACUCCUACGGGAGGCAGCAGUGGGGAAUUUUGGACAAUGGGCGAAAGCCUGAUCCAGCCAUUCCGCGUGCAGGAUGAAGGCCCUCGGGUUGUAAAGCUCUUUCGGCCGGGAAGAAAUCGCACAGGCUAAUACUCUGUGUGGAUGACGGUACCGGCAUAAGAAGCACCGGCUAACUACGUGCCAGCAGCCGCCGUAA
This 496-nucleotide ribosomal RNA is filed under the name uncultured bacterium. Its description in RNAcentral is "partial 16S ribosomal RNA". It matches the Rfam family "Bacterial small subunit ribosomal RNA", at positions 28 to 523 of the family's 1533-position model. The record is from RNAcentral.